RNAcentral lists this ribosomal RNA (252 nucleotides) under uncultured bacterium. RNAcentral describes it as "partial 16S ribosomal RNA". It matches the Rfam family "Bacterial small subunit ribosomal RNA", at positions 524 to 776 of the family's 1533-position model. The record is from RNAcentral.
UACGGAGGAUGCGAGCGUUAUCCGGAUUUAUUGGGUUUAAAGGGUGCGCAGGCGGCGAGUUAAGUCAGCGGUAAAAUUUCGGGGCUCAACCCCGACAGGCCGUUGAAACUGGCUUGCUAGAGUGGGCGAGAAGUAUGCGGAAUGCGUGGUGUAGCGGUGAAAUGCAUAGAUAUCACGCAGAACUCCGAUUGCGAAGGCAGCAUACCGGCGCCCAACUGACGCUCAGGCACGAAAGCGUGGGUAUCGAACAGG